Molecule: long non-coding RNA, 2314 nt
Filed under: Podarcis lilfordi (Lilford's wall lizard)
Lineage: Eukaryota; Metazoa; Chordata; Lepidosauria; Squamata; Lacertidae
Source: RNAcentral
GGCAUACAGAGGAUGUGAGUGGUUUGAAGCUCAGGAAAGUAAUGGCGUUGGGAAGGAGAGAGAAAAUCGGGUGAUGCAAGUCACUGGAUUGGAAAAACUGAAGCUGAAAAGUAACUUUUUUCUGGCAGAAAGAAGUUGCUCUUGAAAGUUGGGAAUAAACAAUAGGGAGUGAUGUCCUCUAUCUAUGCCCUCUGCUGUAAUACAAUCCUGAAACAUUCAAAAGUAAACAUUGUCAAUACAAGAUGCUGAACUUAGAGGAGUGUUAGUUUCACCUAAUAAAGCUAUUUUGAUAUUUAAUUAUUCAUUGUAACACUCUGGAGGAAAAUUGGUAUUUGAGAUGUUUUCUUUCAAGAAAAUCAAAUUUUGGGUUUUGCAUUAUCACAGUUUCUGUUGCAACAGAGAUUAUAAACCAAAGCUGAAACCUUGAUGUUUGUAGCUGAAUUUGUGCCCCAUAUAAUACUUUCCAUGGAAAUCUAGAGAAUGUUGACCAAUAUUUAUCAUCCUCAAUCUUCCCACCCCCCGUCUGCUGUUCCUUGCCUGCAGAACAUUACACAUCCCCACACUGUCAGUUCUAACAUUUUUUCAUGCCAGUCAUCUAGGCCAGUUGAAGUCGUGGCCUUCCAGGGCCUGAGUAUUAACCUCUUGAUUGCCACAAGUGCCCUACGAUGCCACCAAUUGUAUCUAUCUGUCAACAGCCCUUAAAUAUGGCAUAUAGCCAAGAAUAGCAGUAGCAGGAGAUAUAUUUCUGAGCAUUCUAGAGACUUGUUAAGUGACCUGACCACCUGUGGCAAGUGAGAAUUGUACAUGGGUGACCAGGCAGGGAAGCUCUUCCUAACUGGAUUAAAUUGGAACUCCAUUUCCUGGAAAGAUUUGAGUGUCAUUUGCAAUGGUGUGCCAUACUUUAAACUGAGGAAGUCCACUUCAUGGAUCCCUUAUAUUAGAAAAUCAGCAGUACUACUAGAAAGAGUUGGUCUCUUUAAGCAUCUAGGCUACUAAUGCACUAGAAAUGGCAAACACAUGUAUGUACAGAAAAGUGGGCUACUAAAAAUAUUUAUGGAACAGUAACUUUCAAAGUUGACAUAUACAACAUCAAACUAGGACAACGGAGAGCUCUCUGAAUUAUGAGUGUUAUAUUUUAAAGGAAGGAUGGUAUGACAUGUUUUCAUUGCUCCACAAAUAUAUAUAUAUAAAAAAAUGGUACUUAGUGAAAUGAAAUGUACCUUUUAAAUGGUACUUGGAUCUCAAGGUGUCCUGUGUGAGCACUUUUCAUUCCCAUUGCUUGGGAAUGGAGAUGCCCAUAUCUUAUUUUAAUUUUUGCUUGUUUGGUUUUGCAAUACAGCCCUGCUGUAGACUCAUGAUCUCCUUAUCCUGCUGCACCCAUCAUGGCGUACCACAUGCCAUUUGAGGGGGUUUAUUGACGCUUGGAAAUUACUUGGUGGGGGGGAGGGCACAGGCUGACUUUUUGGAGAGCACAGGCUUGUCAAAGCUUAAAAACAGAAAAUAAUUCUUGCAGAAAGGGGUUUUCAAUUUAUAUUUCUUGGUAAAUAUUUUCUAACAAACAACAGCAGCAGGGCAGAGUGCAACAGCAGAUUAACCACUGGUCAGUCACACUGUUCAGGAUAGAAGGUGGGAAGCAGUUGUUGUUGUUUUUUUAAUUGCAAUGUCAGUUCCACACUAGUGUUGUUGAGGGGUCUGAGGAUAUGGCCUUAUGGUACCCCAAUGCCCCCAUGUCGGGCUUUCCACUGGCUACUGCCAGCAGAACAGCAGGCAGUGCUGACCCAUCUCCAAGACUGAGACUUCUGCUGUGGCAGAGCUCCCCACUAGUGGUGCUCCAUUCCACCAGCUGAGAGUGAUGAUAUCCUAAGCCCCCAAGCACCAUCAUUAGCGGGUUAGGGAUGCACUCUAAAGGGACAAUGUAAAUAAAGCCACAUUGCAUUUGUGGUAAGUAACCUGCAGUCCCACGAAAGUGGUCACAGCAAUGCCCAGCGUCUAGCACACAGAUAGGGUCACUAAGCGAAGCUUAGAGAAUUCAAUUGCCUUAAACACAAUUAACUGUGAUGUAUCAUGGCCAGUGUAUUAUCAUAGUUUAUGCCAACAUUAAGUAUUAAAUCUGAGCACAAAAGAAGAAGAGACUUCUAAAAGGAAUUCAGUGCGCACCGUAUGUGUGCUGAAUACUGGAGGUGAGAGAAAGUGAUUCAUAUCUUAGCAAGAAGUAAUAGGUUUAAAAUUCUGGAGAAGUGAGACUGGUUAAAUGUUCCUCUGCUUGGAAAGAGUUCAAAGGACUGCUGCUCCUAAUUUUCUGAAAUGAUUAGCC